GUGAAUUUAUUCAACGGCCGCGGUAUCCUAACCGUGCGAAGGUAGCGUAAUCACUUGCCCUUUAAAUAAGGUCUAGUAUGAACGGCUCCACGAAGGUUAAACUGUCUCCUUUUUCUAAUCAGUGAAACUAAUCUCCCCGUGAAGAAGCGGGGAUAGACCCAUUAGACGAGAAGACCCUAUGGAGCUUUAAAUAUUAACAACAUUUGCUAUUUAACUCAUUAUAAACAACAUUCCUGUUUGUUAAUUUUUGGUUGGGGCGACCACGGAGUAAAACUCAACCUCCCUGUUGAAAAUAGCUAAAAACCACAAUUUUAAGCACCAAUAAACUGACAUCCAUUGACCCAAUAUUUUGAUCAACGAACCAAGUUACCCUAGGGAUAACAGCGCUAUCCACUUCAAGAGCUCCUAUCGAC
RNAcentral lists this ribosomal RNA (413 nucleotides) under Hemiphractus fasciatus (banded horned treefrog). RNAcentral describes it as "partial 16S ribosomal RNA". It matches the Rfam family "Bacterial large subunit ribosomal RNA", at positions 1912 to 2509 of the family's 2925-position model. Lineage: Eukaryota; Metazoa; Chordata; Amphibia; Anura; Hemiphractidae. The record is from RNAcentral.